This 72-nucleotide transfer RNA is filed under the name Candidatus Desantisbacteria bacterium CG1_02_38_46. Its description in RNAcentral is "tRNA-Glu". It matches the Rfam family "tRNA". From Rfam's summary of the family: Transfer RNA (tRNA) molecules are approximately 80 nucleotides in length. Their secondary structure includes four short double-helical elements and three loops (D, anti-codon, and T loops). Further hydrogen bonds mediate the characteristic L-shaped molecular structure. tRNAs have two regions of fundamental functional importance: the anti-codon, which is responsible for specific mRNA codon recognition, and the 3' end, to which the tRNAs corresponding amino acid is attached (by aminoacyl-tRNA synthetases). tRNAs cope with the degeneracy of the genetic code in two manners: having more than one tRNA (with a specific anti-codon) for a particular amino acid; and 'wobble' base-pairing, i.e. permitting non-standard base-pairing at the 3rd anti-codon position. Lineage: Bacteria; Candidatus Desantisiibacteriota. The record is from RNAcentral. RNAcentral also lists the same sequence under 1 other name.
GGCCCCAUGGUCUAGCGGUUAGGACAUCGCCCUUUCAAGGCGGUAGUAGGGGUUCAACUCCCCUUGGGGCCG